RNAcentral lists this long non-coding RNA (1041 nucleotides) under Homo sapiens (human). Its description in RNAcentral is "HSALNT0187491". The record is from RNAcentral. Lineage: Eukaryota; Metazoa; Chordata; Mammalia; Primates; Hominidae.
CACCCAGGCUGGAAUGCAGUGGCGCUCUCGGCUCACUGUAACCUGCACCCCCUGAGUUCAAGUGAUUCUCCUGCCUCAGCCUCCUGAUAAAACCUUUCCAUCACUAAAUUAGGUUCAAGUGGUGGUGGGGGGAGGAAGUGGGCCUGCAAAUUUCCUGACAUUAGACAGUUUAACUAGAGGGAAAAAGAACAUGCUUUAUAUUCAUACAUGUGACAGCAUUAGAAAGCAGUAGCUUGCUGAACAGCUAGGGGUAAGGGUAUAUUACAACAACAAUUUAAUAGGCAGAAGGAGCGGGAAAGCUAGAGCUUCUGUGGGAAGUACAAAUGGGCUUUUAGGGAAACCAAUGGCAGGUAUUACAGUUUAUGAUAAUGUUUGUUUAUGCAAUUUCUCACCCAGGUGCUAACAGUCAGGCUCCUUCCUGGCUGGAAGCUCCCCCAGAGAGGGGAUUUAUGGCAGCUUCAUUCUCCAAAGGCCCUGCCUAUAGUCAGAUAAGGGAAGCUCAGAAGAGGCUUCUUUCUGCAUCUAUAACUUGAAUGUCUUAAAAGAAUCAUUGUACCAUAGGGUGGGUUGUGAUUCCCUUUAACUUCCACCUCAUUCUGUUUAUUAGUCAAGGGAAGUCGCAAAACCAGACGGAAUUCAAGGGAAGGAAACCGACUCCGCCUCUGAUGGCUGCAACAGUAUGCACAUUCAGGGAGGAAAGGAAUUAGCAGUGGUCAUCUUUCUGGACCAUCUACCACAGUGGCUAAAGUUAACACCUAGAAAGGAAGGUCGUGUUUUCAGCUUCUUUGACUGCUGCUCCAGGUGUCAAACCCUGAAGGGUGAGCUGACGCUAAAGACUGAGUGGUUAUUUUUUCCAGAAGAGGAGAAAGAUUGAAAAUGUGGCCGGCCGAUUCUCCCUGAUGAUCACACAGACAGACCUGCAUGACAGUCAAACAGACAGGCCUGCAUAGCACCCCAGUUACACAGACGAAUUUCCCCAGAGCUGCCUUAACAUUGAGCAAAUAGUUAAACCUAGGGAAAUUGGUGCCCAGACAGCAAAGC